Limanda limanda (common dab) is the source of this 523-nucleotide non-coding RNA. Lineage: Eukaryota; Metazoa; Chordata; Actinopteri; Pleuronectiformes; Pleuronectidae. The record is from the annotation of a RefSeq genome assembly.
UUCGGACAAGGGACCAAGCUGACUGUGACUGGCUCCAGCCUCUCUCCUCCUGUCCUGACUGUCUUCCCUCCGUCCAGUGCUGAGCUCUGCUCCAACAAAGCCAGUCUGCUCUGUCUGUCCAGUCAGUCUGUGCGUUUUGCAGAAGUGACCUGGUUGGUCGGUGGGAGCCCAGUGAGCAGUGGGAUCUCUACCAGCACCGCCGUCCAGCAACCGGACCAGACUUUCCAAAUCAGCAGCUAUCUGGCCAUCCAGACGUCAGACUGGAACAUGGACAAGAUUUACACAUGUAAAGUGUCUCUGGGCUCCCAGACGUCAGAGAAAAACAUCAACAAGUCCGUCUGCCCCACUGAAGAAUAACAGAGGAGCAGAAUGACCAUUUUAAUCCUGGUCCUUUUCUCCUGUUUGUGCUUUGUUUCAUGCAGGAGAAUGUGUUUGUAUGCUUGUGACACACGUUGUGAGGGUUGGGUGGUGGUGUUCUAUCAACUUUGCAACUGUUGCUUUCAAUAAAAAAUCAUUAUGAACA